AUGGCUGUCGUCAGCUCGUGUCGUGAGAUGUUCGGUUAAGUCCGCUAACGAGCCGCAACCCUUCGCUGUGUGUUACAAGUGUCACACGGAACUGCCGGUCAUAAACCGGAGGAAGGUGGGAUGACGUCAAGUCAGCAUGGCCUUUAUAUCCUGGGCUACACACACGCUACAAUGGGAAGGGACAAUAGGUUGCGAAGCCGCGAGGCGGAGCCAAUCCAGCAAAAACUUCCCUCAGUUCAGAUUGCAGGCUGCAACUCGCCUGCAUGAAGUUGGAGUUGCUAGUAAACGCAGGUCAGCCAUACUGCGUUGAAUACGUUCCCGGGGCUU
Molecule: ribosomal RNA, 327 nt
Filed under: uncultured Anaerolineaceae bacterium
Lineage: Bacteria; Bacillati; Chloroflexota; Anaerolineae; Anaerolineales; Anaerolineaceae
Description: bacterial SSU rRNA
Rfam family: Bacterial small subunit ribosomal RNA
Source: RNAcentral